GCGGCAUAGGACGUCCACCCCGUCCUAUUCACUUAACUGCUCACCGGCGAUCGCAAUGGGGGGACUUACCUGGCAUCCCAGGGAGUCCCCCUGCUGCCGAUUCGGCCCUCCUGGGCCAUGUGAUCGCGAGGUCCUUGCGAGAACCUCCUGGGCCAUGUGAUCGCAAGGUCCUUGCGAGGACGGAAUAGCCAUCCAUAGAAGUGCC
Non-coding RNA from Pelobates cultripes (western spadefoot toad), 205 nucleotides. NCBI's taxonomy places the organism in Eukaryota, Metazoa, Chordata, Amphibia, Anura, Pelobatidae. The record is from the annotation of a GenBank genome assembly.